Molecule: ribosomal RNA, 758 nt
Filed under: uncultured Gram-positive bacterium
Lineage: Bacteria
Description: bacterial SSU rRNA
Rfam family: Bacterial small subunit ribosomal RNA
Source: RNAcentral
UGGGCGUAAAGCGCGCGCAGGCGGUUCCUUAAGUCUGAUGUGAAAGCCCACGGCUCAACCGUGGAGGGUCAUUGGAAACUGGGGAACUUGAGUGCAGGAGAGGGGAGCGGAAUUCCACGUGUAGCGGUGAAAUGCGUAGAGAUGUGGAGGAACACCAGUGGCGAAGGCGGCUCUCUGGCCUGUAACUGACGCUGAGGCGCGAAAGCGUGGGGAGCGAACAGGAUUAGAUACCCUGGUAGUCCACGCCGUAAACGAUGAGUGCUAGGUGUUGGAGGGGUCAUACCCUUCAGUGCUGCAGCUAACGCAUUGAGCACUCCGCCUGGGGAGUACGGCCGCAAGGCUGAAACUCAAAGGAAUUGACGGGGGCCCGCACAAGCGGUGGAGCAUGUGGUUUAAUUCGAAGCAACGCGAAGAACCUUACCAGGCCUUGACAUCCUCUGACACCCCUGGAGACAGGGCUUCCCCUUCGGGGGCAGAGUGACAGGUGGUGCAUGGUUGUCGUCAGCUCGUGUCGUGAGAUGUUGGGUUAAGUCCCGCAACGAGCGCAACCCUCGUCCUUAGUUGCCAGCAUUCAGUUGGGCACUCUAAGGAGACUGCCGGUGAUCAAACCGGAGGAAGGUGGGGAUGACGUCAAAUCAUCAUGCCCCUUAUGGCCUGGGCUACACACGUGCUACAAUGGGCGGUACAAAGGGUUGCGAAACCGCGAGGUGGAGCUAAUCCCAAAAAGCCGCUCUCAGUUCGGAUUGCAGGCUGCAACU